RNAcentral lists this ribosomal RNA (480 nucleotides) under uncultured Ralstonia sp. RNAcentral's name for it is "bacterial SSU rRNA". It matches the Rfam family "Bacterial small subunit ribosomal RNA", at positions 30 to 514 of the family's 1533-position model. Lineage: Bacteria; Pseudomonadati; Pseudomonadota; Betaproteobacteria; Burkholderiales; Burkholderiaceae. The record is from RNAcentral.
CGAACGCAGGCGGCGUGCUUAACACAUGCAAGUCGAGCGGUGAACCUCUUCGGAGGGGAUCAGCGGCGAACGGGUGAGGAACACGUGGGCAACCUGCCCCAGACACCGGGAUAACCCAGGGAAACCUGAGCUAAUACCGCAUACGACCUGAGGGUGAAAGUGGGGGACCGCAAGGCCUCAUGCUAUAGGAGCGGCCGAUGUCUGAUUAGCUAGUUGGUGGGGUAAAGGCCCACCAAGGCGACGAUCAGUAGCUGGUCUGAGAGGACGAUCAGCCACACUGGGACUGAGACACGGCCCAGACUCCUACGGGAGGCAGCAGUGGGGAAUUUUGGACAAUGGGCGAAAGCCUGAUCCAGCAAUGCCGCGUGUGUGAAGAAGGCCUCGGUUGUAAAGCACUUUGUCCGAAGAAUAGGCUCUGGUUAAUACCUGGGUCGAUGACGUACCGGAAGAAUAAGGACCGGCGUAACUACGUGCCAGCAG